Molecule: long non-coding RNA, 3236 nt
Organism: Triticum aestivum (bread wheat)
Lineage: Eukaryota; Viridiplantae; Streptophyta; Magnoliopsida; Poales; Poaceae
Exons: 6
Source: RefSeq, a predicted model, not a curated record
CCGAUCUCUUUCCAUACUUAGCUCCACCUUCGCUCCCUCCCACACACUUUUACGUAGCCCAAGAAAUCCUCUCGCACGAUCCUCGCAAUAACUACAGAAUAUAUCCUUCCCCAAUUAUCGCUUUCCUUGCCCGAGCGAGAUCGUGGUCCCUUCUCCCCUCCUCCCUCCCACAGCUCGCUCAGGUUUUCUUCCGCUACACCUAUCCUCUUCCGGCCUCUUCCUGGAGCCCUCGGCUUCGUGCUCGUAGGAAUCGGAGGCGGUGACGCUCGACGUUGUCACGUCGAGGCUGGAUCUAGGGGACAGGCAGGCGGCGCUCGUCACGGGAAGAGGAGCAUGUAACUCAUGGAGUCAAAGCUUGUGUGGGGCCGUUUGGCGACGCUCGACCGCGGCAGGGAGGCGAGGACGCGUGAACGCAUAUGUGCCUGCUCGCCGAGCGUCGCGACGUUGACGGGCUGGGGCUUGAUGUCGAGGCCCUCCGCUUCCUGCACCUCUUCGUGUCGAUGGCCAGAGGCACACACCGGUACUAGAAACACGAUGGCCAGAGAUGAUGAUCCAAAAUGCAUAGAAACAUGGGUAGAGAUGGGAAACUGUGAAAGCGAUGGGAACUAUCUGGAAUACAGGAUUGAGCGAUCUAGCAGAUACUUAUGAACUUCUGAAGCUCGGUUGUUCAGAUUAUCAUGGAUGAGAUGAUAAGGAAGCGCCUGAUAUAGCUUUCAAAAUUGAAGUUGGGUCGCCGAAUUGAGGCCAAGGCCCAUGUUGUUCUGCAUUUUUACAGAUGGUCUUCUGUGAUCAAAUUGGCGUCUCAAUUUCAACAAGGAUGCUGAUAUGAUGAUUGAGGAAAUGAAGCUUAGAGUUGUCUACACAUUGCCCAGUGGAAGCUCAGACAACAACGGAGUUACAUCUUUGGCAUACAGGAGCUUCAGGAACUUCAGGCAGGGCACUAUGAUUUCUCGGUGAGAUUGGCUAGCUUUAUGUUCUAUGUAGGAAACAUAUGUUUUGCUAAUAAAUUUGUAGUGCAAAGGCUAACUGUAUCUGCACAAGAGCCGAACCUGAAGAAGUUGAGGGCCCAUGCAGCGAUUUCAGAACCUAGGGAAAACUAGACUGACUGGUCUUCAAGAAAUAAAGGGCAACAGUAAAAAAUUAUCCAUUUAUAUUGAAUUAGGAACAAUCUUCUAGCACACACAUCUGGUUUGACAUUUUGACAUUUAUAUGGAUAGAAACAUGAGCAGACGCCUACGACCAGACGCCAUCGCUUCACACGGUCGCCUUUCGGCCAUAAGAUUCACCGGCGGGGUACUUGGAGCAGGGAGCCACGGAUAGAAACUGACACACCUUAUAUGCAUUAUGCGGAACAAUCGGUACUACUUGUUUUAGGAGUAUGGUUCAAAAAUUUGGUACCGACAAUGAUUAGGUUCCAACGAUUCAGUAACCCUUAUUUAUAUGCAGGAUAAAUUCAGUAGGAAAAGUAACCAACAGAAUCUGGGUACAAUAAAAUGGAAACAAAUUACUUCUAGCCCGAACAUUAAAUUCCAGCAUAAUUCUUUUGUGUCAUUAUGUGUGUCUGGGUGUAACAUAUGCAACUUUGAAGGUGACGCUGGCGAGGCAUUACUAUAUCUUUCUAAGCUUCCACUCUGUGUUAUUUUGUUUGUUCUGGAGAUUCAUAAAUAUUUCUAUUUUCCGCUUCAGUAUUCACUGAAAGGCUGGACUACGUUUACCUUUUGUUCUUUAAAAUGGUAGUGUUUGUAAUUCGUUUCCCGACAUUUUGUGCAUCUUCUCGAUUCUGGUGGAUUGAACUCAUGUAAGCUAGCUUUGUAACAUUUGGCUGCACGUAUAAACUGAUCUUAACACAUCCGUUUGGACUUUUGAUUUUAUUUUGUCCUCGUAAUUUGCAGAUUCACAUUUUCCCACCUUUUUGUUUGUUAGUAAAAUACUUUAGAACUUAUAUACUAGCAAUAGAAUAUUAGGACAAACUUUGGGUGGCACUAGGUGCAGCAAAAAAUGGUGCCAUGGCAGCGGAAUUGGACUGACGCUACAGUUCCCACUUUUAAAGGUUCGGUUGACCUUUUCCAUGUCAUUUAUCUUGUGAUUGUAGCCCAUUUCUUUUGUAAGUGAUCAACAUUAAUACUUGGUUUUGUUACUCAAGGAUGUUGGACACUGGUUAAGUAUUACAGGCGGAUUAUGUUGGCUUAGUUUGCUACAAUUUAUGCCCGUUAAGAGAAUAGUGGAUACAACUAUAAUAUCUAUGUAGUGCAUUUUUUAGUAAUGUAGAAGCUUCUAAAUUAUUGACUGUGAGUAUCUCACACAAACUUAUCUACUUUUUCUAUGCUUUGUGAUUCUAUCGUGCCCUAUCUUUAGAAGUCACUCUGAUUCAGUUAAUUCAAUGCCCAGCAAUAUCAUCAAUUCAACAAGCAGUUACUCGAAAUUCCAUCGCCCCAAAUGGCAUAGGAUACCUCGGGCGUCCAACUUCUGGCAUAAGUUUUUGUGCAUUCAAAAAUUUAGGAACCUGAACCACAAGGGCAAAUGGAAGGCACCUUUGAUCGGUAAUCCAGAGUACAUGGAUGAUUCUUACACCUAUGCUUUUGAUAGGCUGAUGCACAUUGGCGUUGAGCCAAGGUAGGUUAGUGCUUCACAAGGACCAGCUCUAAGCAUGACUUGUGCAGAUAUGGGAAAGAAGCCUAGGUAGGCCUCCUUUCUGAAGAAAAAAUAUAUAUGGGAAAGAAGACUAGAUGAAAAAUCUUGGGGAAGACUUUGGUGAAGAAGAACAAGGUGAAUUUUAUCUGUUCAACAAAAUCAAGUUUGUUCCUGCACUUUGAUGUUAUGAAUCACUGUGUAGUAAGCAGGAGUGCUUCUCAAUCAAUAUUUUAUAUGUUUGUUAGAAAUUGAAGAAACAAAUAUCUAUCUGGCAGUCUAUAAUGGGUUUUGAGGCUGGUUCAUUGCUACACAUAUAGUGGAGAGCUUCCUAAAAAUUGGAGGGGACUUGUUGUAGCCUUAUAAUGUAUUAUCUCGGGUAUUACAUUUCUCAUUCCAUUUGCCAACAUUUUGAAUGAGUUUAAAUGUUAGCACUCUUAGACAAUUGACAAUGUUUAUUCAAAAGAUUAUACUGCAGUUCUACGUGAGUUUCUCAUCAUAAUUCUUUAAAUUUCAAAUCAGAUACAAGUGCAACAAAAUAUAGACAUGACAAGCUACUGAGCUCUCACAUUUGAAUGCUAAUGUUCCUUUGUAGACAUGGGUUUAUU